Molecule: ribosomal RNA, 302 nt
Filed under: uncultured bacterium
Lineage: Bacteria
Description: bacterial SSU rRNA
Rfam family: Bacterial small subunit ribosomal RNA
Source: RNAcentral
GGAUUAGAUACCCUGGUAGUCCACGCUGUAAACGAUGAAUACUAGCUGUUGGGUGGGUCUUUUAUAAGGUCCAUUUAGUGGCGCAGCAAACGCGAUAAGUAUUCCGCCUGGGGAGUACGGCCGCAAGGCUAAAACUCAAAGGAAUUGACGGGGGCCCGCACAAGCGGUGGAGCAUGUGGUUUAAUUCGAUGCAACGCGAAGAACCUUACCUACCCUUGACAUACCGAGAAGGUCUGAGAGAUCGGACUGUGCCGCAAGGAACUUGGAUACAGGUGCUGCAUGGCUGUCGUCAGCUCGUGCCG